This 93-nucleotide transfer RNA is filed under the name Nitrososphaeria archaeon. RNAcentral's name for it is "tRNA-OTHER". It matches the Rfam family "tRNA". From Rfam's summary of the family: Transfer RNA (tRNA) molecules are approximately 80 nucleotides in length. Their secondary structure includes four short double-helical elements and three loops (D, anti-codon, and T loops). Lineage: Archaea; Thermoproteati; Nitrososphaerota; Nitrososphaeria. The record is from RNAcentral.
GCGGCGGUGGUCUAGUCUGGACUAGGACGCAGUCGAGCAUUCGGCGUAAGCCUUCCAAGCCUGAAAUCCCGGGUUCGAAUCCCGGCCGCCGCA